CAGUAGCCGCGGUAAUACGUAGGUGGCAAGCGUUGUCCGGAAUUAUUGGGCGUAAAGGGCUCGCAGGCGGUUUCUUAAGUCUGAUGUGAAAGCCCCCGGCUCAACCGGGGAGGGUCAUUGGAAACUGGGAAACUUGAGUGCAGAAGAGGAGAGUGGAAUUCCACGUGUAGCGGUGAAAUGCGUAGAGAUGUGGAGGAACACCAGUGGCGAAGGCGACUCUCUGGUCUGUAACUGACGCUGAGGAGCGAAAGCGUGGGGAACGAACAGGAUUAGAUACCCGGGUAGUCCCUGUCUCUUAUAC
This 301-nucleotide ribosomal RNA is filed under the name uncultured bacterium. RNAcentral describes it as "partial 16S ribosomal RNA". It matches the Rfam family "Bacterial small subunit ribosomal RNA", at positions 509 to 807 of the family's 1533-position model. The record is from RNAcentral.